UAGUCCACGCUGUAAACGGUGGGUACUAGGUGUGGGAUCCAUUCCACGGAUUCUGUGCCGUAGCUAACGCAUUAAGUACCCCGCCUGGGGAGUACGGCCGCAAGGCUAAAACUCAAAGGAAUUGACGGGGGCCCGCACAAGCGGCGGAGCAUGCGGAUUAAUUCGAUGCAACGCGAAGAACCUUACCAAGGCUUGACAUGGGCAGAAAUCCGGCAGAGAUGUCGGGUCCGCAAGGGCUGCUCAC
This 244-nucleotide ribosomal RNA is filed under the name uncultured bacterium. Its description in RNAcentral is "partial 16S ribosomal RNA". It matches the Rfam family "Bacterial small subunit ribosomal RNA", at positions 791 to 1035 of the family's 1533-position model. The record is from RNAcentral.